UACGAAGGGGGCUAGCGUUGCUCGGAAUGACUGGGCGUAAAGGGCGCGUAGGCGGCGCACUUAGUCGGGCGUGAAAGUCCUGGGCUCAACCUGGGGACGGCGCUCGAUACGGGUGUGCUUGAGUGAGGAAGAGGGUCGUGGAAUUCCCAGUGUAGAGGUGAAAUUCGUAGAUAUUGGGAAGAACACCGGUGGCGAAGGCGGCGACCUGGUCCUUUACUGACGCUGAGGCGCGAAAGCGUGGGGAG
RNAcentral lists this ribosomal RNA (245 nucleotides) under uncultured Acidisoma sp. RNAcentral's name for it is "partial 16S ribosomal RNA". It matches the Rfam family "Bacterial small subunit ribosomal RNA", at positions 524 to 768 of the family's 1533-position model. The record is from RNAcentral. Lineage: Bacteria; Pseudomonadati; Pseudomonadota; Alphaproteobacteria; Acetobacterales; Acidocellaceae.